Molecule: unclassified non-coding RNA, 219 nt
Filed under: Hevea brasiliensis (rubber tree)
Lineage: Eukaryota; Viridiplantae; Streptophyta; Magnoliopsida; Malpighiales; Euphorbiaceae
Source: RNAcentral
UGUUCAUCCUAUCUCCGCUCUCCCAUUCAAGCUUUGACAUAAAUAAAUUUCUAUAAGGCACCUAAAGCAACAAAUUGGCCCUGAAAGAGCGUGCUGAUGCAUGAAGCUAUUUAACAUGCUUCCUCUAUUUCACCUGGCAUCAGAGAUAACUUUGACCCAUGUCUGAUAGAUUCCAUAAUCUUUCACUAAGAAUAUAUCAUCAGCAUCAACUUCUUGCAA